Molecule: long non-coding RNA, 248 nt
Filed under: Gossypium barbadense (sea-island cotton)
Lineage: Eukaryota; Viridiplantae; Streptophyta; Magnoliopsida; Malvales; Malvaceae
Description: long non-coding RNA (GBAR_LNC012240)
Source: RNAcentral
GGAUGGGUUGCAUUACGCAUUUACACUGAUAUUGUAUUGGGCUUAUGCCCACAAUGCUACUGUAUAGGGCUAAGGCCCAGACUGUACUGUUACUGAAUAGGGCUUUGGUCCAGACUGUACUGAAACUGUGUUGUUUACUGUAUGUUUGUUAUUAGGAUUACACACUGAGUUUUCGUAAACUCACUUUAUUUCUAACCGUAUAGGUAAUCCCUAAAGCUUAGAUGAUUUGGAGCUGCAAGGGACUCGGG